UUAUGGCUAAGUACUCCAUUGUAUAAAAAAAACCCAUAUCUUUCUUAUGUAUUCAUCAUUUGAUGGGCAUUUGGGUUGUUUCCAAGAUUUAGCUAUUAUAAAUUGAUACUAUCUUAAAUAUCACCUGCAUUCUCUUAAAUGAGAAAUCAAAAAUAUAAAUUAAUUUUUAAGCAUAAUAAAAACAAUACAAAAUAGGGAGCUAGAUCUUUUGAGAACGGGAAGGGGACUAAUGUAUGUAAGGAAGAAGAGAUGAAGGGGCUAAAAAUGAUUAAGAUGAGUUAUGUACAUGACUGACUCUCCAUGAUGAAUGUAAUUCUUAUGUACUGCAAAUUUCCAACUUGUAAAUCUGUAGGACCAUUCAUGAUUUACAAAGAUCCUGGCCAUACACCUACCUAGAAAUGAUGAAGUUUAAAAUCAUUUGGAAGUGCGGAAAAAAGCAUGUGUUUGAAAAGGAAUGUGAGCCAAAUGCCUGUGCCAGGUGCUGCUGGAGUCAUGGGCUUGCAGCAGUGGACAGAACUCCACCUCAGCUCACCCUGAGCCUGCCCCUUGCAGGGAAGAGAGGUAAUGAACACUAAGUACUAAAUCUGUAAGUCACGGUGUGAGAAGUGGCUGAGAAAACAAAGCAACUGCAGCGAAUAAAUUACUGGAUAGAACAAUAUUUUACAAAAUGUGAUACUGCAAGUCACACGAUAGUGAGGAAUGAAAUGUGUGAGUGUCUGGACAAGAUGAUUUCCUUAACAGGAAAUAGAGUGUGUAAAGGGCCAGAAGAGUUGCUUGUUGUGAGGGGAAACAGCAAGAGGGCAAGGAAGAGACCCAGGCUACAGGGCUCAGUGGGGGCAGG
RNAcentral lists this long non-coding RNA (841 nucleotides) under Fukomys damarensis (Damara mole-rat). Its description in RNAcentral is "lncRNA (ENSFDAG00000026149.1)". Lineage: Eukaryota; Metazoa; Chordata; Mammalia; Rodentia; Bathyergidae. The record is from RNAcentral.